CCUACGGGUGGCAGCAGUGGGGAAUAUUGCACAAUGGGGGGAACCCUGAUGCAGCGACGCCGCGUGAGUGAAGAAGUAUUUCGGUAUGUAAAGCUCUAUCAGCAGGGAAGAAAAUGACGGUACCUGACUACGACGCCCCGGCUAACUACGUGCCAGCCGCCGCGGUAAUACGUAGGGGGCAAGCGUUAUCCGGAUUUACUGGGUGUAACGGGAGCGCAGACGGCUGUGCAAGUCUGGAGUGAAAGGCGGGGGCCCAACCCCCGGACUGCUCUGGAAACUGUAAAGCUGGAGUGCAGGAGAGGUAAGCGGAAUUCCUAGUGUAGCGGUGAAAUGAGUAGAUAUUAGGAGGAACACCAGUGGCGAAGGCGGCUUACUGGACUGCAACUGACGUUGAGGCUCGAAAGCGUGGGGAGCAAACAGGAUUAGAUACCCGAGUAGUC
RNAcentral lists this ribosomal RNA (440 nucleotides) under uncultured bacterium. Its description in RNAcentral is "partial 16S ribosomal RNA". It matches the Rfam family "Bacterial small subunit ribosomal RNA", at positions 338 to 795 of the family's 1533-position model. The record is from RNAcentral.